Fukomys damarensis (Damara mole-rat) is the source of this 580-nucleotide long non-coding RNA. RefSeq lists it as uncharacterized. The record is from RefSeq and is a predicted model, not a curated record. The transcript is spliced from 3 exons. NCBI's taxonomy places the organism in Eukaryota, Metazoa, Chordata, Mammalia, Rodentia, Bathyergidae.
AGCGUGGACCUGGAAAGCGUGGAGGCGCGUGGCCAGGUGGGACUGUGUGAGUGAGCACAGCUGUGCCCCGGCACCUGCCUCCGUGAGCGUCAGGGGUAGGUUCAGUCAGCCCCAGGAGAGGCCGCCACUCACUCACUCACCCUUCAGGGGGGCCUUCCAGCGCCUCGUGCCUCUGAGCUGCCUCCUGGGGCCACCGCUGUCGCCUUCCUCACCCUCCCUGCUCCUGGAGCACCUGUCCAUCCACCCUCCUCCUCUCCUGCCCUGGUGCACUCCUCACCCCGACUUGGCUCUGUGCCCCUCUGUGAAGAACCCCUCCACCUGGACAGCUCCACACCCAAGCGCGGCCUCCAGGGGAGCCGGAGAACAGUCAGUGCCAGAGGCAGACAGGGAGGCGACACAGCAGAGAUGGACUAUAUGACUGAGAUAGCUUGAAGACUACUCUCUGAGGAGACCAGUGGCGAAGAGGGGCAACACCAGGCAAGGUGCAAGGACACAGGGCAGAUGGAAGGAGCGAUCACGAGCAAGAACAUGGAUAAGAAAGCAAUGUGAGCCCACCAAGAGGACAAAGUCUCAUCGGAGC